AAUCAGUAGAAAGCAGUUAGCAAAUGUAAAUCACAUAUUAUGACAACUGGAAAAGAGCAGAAUGUCAUUUAAUUGUUCAGUUAGGUGGUAGUGGAGAAGACAGUUUUAAAAAGUGACUUUUUUUCCCUUGAGCAGUAAGACCUAACUCUUUAACCCUUCUACUGUGCCUCUAAUAGAGACUAUGUAUACAAGCCUCCUUCAUUUCUAGGAUUUGUCAGUGCUUUUAGAGCUGACCGCUUCUUCCUUUUGGCUUCUCUGAAGCAACUUCAGGUAUAAACAUGUAAUCUAUAUGUUCGAAUGACUUUACUGUUCAUGCAGCACCUGAAAUGCAUGCAUAACAUAUGGCACAGCAGUAACUACUUCCUUUUCUUACAGAACAGAAAUGGAAUGUGUAUUAUGCAUGUAAAAAUGAAUUCUCCGAUAAGAACAGAGAACACCCAAGGAUUAGUAAGGAUCUCUUUAAUAUACUGGUCCUGUGCUCCACACUCCUUGUUAACAUGAGGAGUCUCCCACAAUAUGUUAAAAGUGUUUUUGGUACGCGAGAUGUUAGCUGCACCACUUCUGCUUGCUUCCCAUCAAACUGGAAAAAUGCAUCUGCUCUGCUUUCUGAGCCACCCUCUAGAAAAUAUGAAGAAGCCCUGGAGCCCUGACUUACCAGUUGAUAGUCACUCAUACAAUUCAGAUUUUACAUCCAUCCCAGACAGAGAAAAUGAGAAAGAUUUAGCACCUGAUGGCACUGAGGAAAAGAAGGAGAGAGAAAAGAAACACACCAAUUUCACUUUGUGCAAUGUUUGUAACAUUCAGCUGAACUCUGCAGCUCAGGCACAAAUCCACUAUAAUGGCAAAUCCCAUCAGAAGAGAUUAAAACAGCUCAGCAAUGGAAAUUUCAAAAGUGAUAAUGAUUCAGCAGAUUCCCAGAUGGGACUACAGAAUGUAACAGAGUGUUGGCUCUUCAGGGCAGAUCUUUCAACUGAAGCCUAUCAACCGAUCAGCUGAAUUGAACUGUUCAACUGUUCAGCAGUAUUUCAACUGAUGCAGUGCUUCCCCUUUCAAGUCCUCUGGUAAACAUCUGAUUUGUCCUAAAUCAUGAUUACCCUUCUCUCUGAAAUGCACCAGAGAGGUUCAGGCAACCUGUGAUAUCGUCUAAAUUGCUUUUCAUUCUGUCAAAACUAACGAUUUGAAUGAUAUCUUACCAAUCCUGUGCAAUACAGCCCACAACAAGGCCGUGUACUUUAUAAAAUCAGUGUGAUUAUUAGUUGUCCUGAGAUACUUCUGAAAAGCAUAUUAACUACCCAUCAUUUCACUGUCUUUGCUAGUAUGCCCUCUGGGUAUGGGAUAUACACAAUUCAGAGAAGGUUAAUUGGAGAAAUUCAAGCUCUGGGCUUUUUGUCAUUUUCUUCUUUAUAGCACAAACAUGCAAUGCUAUAUUGGCAGCCUUUCAAGUCCUCUGAAAAACUGAAAUACUUAUUUAUGGUGAUACCUGAUUUUUCAUUUGCAACCAAUUUCCUAAACCUGUAAGGCUUGUUUGAGCUUCAUAUAUACAUAUAAGGAGAAGAGAAAGACAGUUCAGUCCUGGAAAGUCUUUGAGGAAGAUAUGAAAAAUAACCUUGGCAAUGUUGCAAAUUCUAAAACUCUGACUAAGGAGAUAGAGAAAGGUAUUAGCUGUCCCAUACCAUUGCUCAGCAGACCUAAAAUAAACUGUCAUAUUAUCUGACCUAUAAGUGGUAU
This 1728-nucleotide long non-coding RNA is filed under the name Struthio camelus australis. RNAcentral describes it as "lncRNA (ENSSCUG00000010994.1)". Lineage: Eukaryota; Metazoa; Chordata; Aves; Struthioniformes; Struthionidae. The record is from RNAcentral.